This 252-nucleotide ribosomal RNA is filed under the name uncultured bacterium. Its description in RNAcentral is "partial 16S ribosomal RNA". It matches the Rfam family "Bacterial small subunit ribosomal RNA", at positions 524 to 776 of the family's 1533-position model. The record is from RNAcentral.
UACGGAGGAUGCGAGCGUUAUCCGGAUUUAUUGGGUUUAAAGGGUGCGCAGGCGGCACGGCAAGCCGGCGGUCAAAUCGCGGGGCUCAACCCCGCCCAGCCGUCGGAACUGCCGGGCUAGAGUGGGCGAGAAGUGCGCGGAAUGCGUGGUGUAGCGGUGAAAUGCAUAGAUAUCACGCAGAACUCCGAUUGCGAAGGCAGCGCACCUGCGCCCUACUGACGCUCAGGCACGAAAGCGUGGGUAUCGAACAGG